GAAAAGUAAAGUUUUUGUCAGGUGAUCGCUGGGGUAUUUUCCUCUUCCCGCCAUGCAUGCUUAUCUCGCACUUAUCGCCCGAUAGUUGGCGAGAACGGAUGUGCAGAAUGUGUCUGAUCAAAGCACCUCGACUAUGAUUAUUGGCGAUUUACAAGAUUUGGGUUUACAGUUUUUAUUCAAUGUUGACCAUGAGGAUUUUCUCACAAGCAUGUGAGGAUCACACAGCUCGUGAAAUUAAACCGGGAGAUGAUAAAAUGGAUAUCGACACGGCCGCGAGCCUAGAUCUUGUGAAUUCUAAUUUGAACUUCACCAAGUGUUGAAAUUGUCAGGUUUUGGGCAACCGCCAGAGAUAUUCUACUGUAUACAACCAAAAGUGUCGUGGCGUUUUAAGAUAGGAGGAGGAUUAGCAUGGGACUCAUGAGAUUUUUGGCCAAUUAUUGAUGUUAGAAGUCCGCCAUGCAUAGACUUCUCGUUAUUUUCCUGGGCCUGGGCCCAAUAAUUGGAAUUCUGGCAUUUUAUCGUUUACCUUGAACUGGUUACGCCCUACACUAUUGAGAAAGUCGCUGUAGAUCAUUGUUUUGCAUACCAUAAUCAUCAUUCUGUAUCUUUGUCAUUGUGCAAGUAACCAAUUAGAUUCCGCCUAAUUAAAACGUAAAAAUUACUAUGUCAAAUGUUAUAUUCUCUUCAUUGUUUUGUAUAGUCACUUAUUCAAAAUGUUGAUAUUAUUGUUCCAUGAAUCAUUGGAUUUAUAUAAAAAGCCAUGACAAAAAC
This is a long non-coding RNA of Ostrea edulis (European flat oyster), 771 nucleotides long. RefSeq lists it as uncharacterized. NCBI's taxonomy places the organism in Eukaryota, Metazoa, Mollusca, Bivalvia, Ostreida, Ostreidae. The record is from RefSeq and is a predicted model, not a curated record. The transcript has 2 exons.